RNAcentral lists this ribosomal RNA (466 nucleotides) under uncultured bacterium. RNAcentral describes it as "partial 16S ribosomal RNA". It matches the Rfam family "Bacterial small subunit ribosomal RNA", at positions 28 to 507 of the family's 1533-position model. The record is from RNAcentral.
GAUGAACGCUGGCGGCGUGCUUAACACAUGCAAGUCGAACGAUGAAGCCCAGCUUGCUGGGUGGAUUAGUGGCGAACGGGUGAGUAACACGUGAGUAACCUGCCCUUGACUCUGGGAUAAGCCUGGGAAACUGGGUCUAAUACUGGAUAUGACUUCUCAUCGCAUGGUGGGGGGUGGAAAGAUUUAUUGGUCUUGGAUGGACUCGCGGCCUAUCAGCUUGUUGGUGAGGUAAUGGCUCACCAAGGCGACGACGGGUAGCCGGCCUGAGAGGGUGACCGGCCACACUGGGACUGAGACACGGACCAGACUCCUACGGGAGGCAGCAGUGGGGAAUAUUGCGCAAUGGGCGCAAGCCUGAUGCAGCGACGCCGCGUGAGGGAUGACGGCCUUCGGGGUGUAAACCUCUUUCAGUAGGGAAGAAGCGAGAGUGACGGUACCUGCAGAAGAAGCGCCGGCUAACUACGUG